CAUGCACCAGUGGGGUCCCUCGGCCUGGCCUGUGCCUUCUCGCACCCCUCAGGGAAUGUCGGAGAGGCGGUUUCAGCCUGAUCCCGCAGGCCAGGCCGAGGGACUCCACUGGUGCAUG
This is a non-coding RNA of Myotis lucifugus (little brown bat), 118 nucleotides long. The record is from Rfam. Lineage: Eukaryota; Metazoa; Chordata; Mammalia; Chiroptera; Vespertilionidae.